GAUGAACGCUGGCGGCGUGCUUAACACAUGCAAGUCGAACGAUGAUGCCCAGCUUGCUGGGUGGAUUAGUGGCGAACGGGUGAGUAACACGUGAGUAACCUGCCCUUGACUCUGGGAUAAGCCUGGGAAACUGGGUCUAAUACCGGAUACGACCAUCUGGCGCAUGUCAUGGUGGUGGAAAGCUUUUGUGGUUUUGGAUGGAUUCGCGGCCUAUCAGCUUGUUGGUGGGGUAAUGGCCUACCAAGGCGACGACGGGUAGCCGGCCUGAGAGGGUGACCGGCCACACUGGGACUGAGACACGGCCCAGACUCCUACGGGAGGCAGCAGUGGGGAAUAUUGCACAAUGGGCGCAAGCCUGAUGCAGCGACGCCGCGUGAGGGAUGACGGCCUUCGGGUUGUAAACCUCUUUCAGUAGGGAAGAAGCGAAAGUGACGGUACCUGCAGAAGAAGCGCCGGCUAACUACGUG
RNAcentral lists this ribosomal RNA (467 nucleotides) under uncultured bacterium. RNAcentral's name for it is "partial 16S ribosomal RNA". It matches the Rfam family "Bacterial small subunit ribosomal RNA", at positions 28 to 507 of the family's 1533-position model. The record is from RNAcentral.